UAAUACCAGCUCCUCGAGUGGUCAGGGCGUUUAUUGGGCCUAAAAGCAUCCGUAGCCUGCUCAGUAGGUCUCCUGUUAAAUCCAACGGCUCAACCGUUGGUCUGCAGGAGAUACCGCUGGGCUAGGAGGCGGGAGAGGCGGACGGUACUCCGAGGGUAGGGGUAAAAUCCUUUGAUCCCCGGAAGACCACCAGUGGCGAAGGCGGUCCGCCAGAACGCGCUCGACGGUGAGGGAUGAAAGCUGGGGGAGCGAACCGGAUUAGAUACCCGGGUAGUCCCAGCUGUAAACGAUGCGAGCUAGGUGACACGACGCCUUCGGGGCGUCGUGGUGCCGCAGGGAAGCCGUUAAGCCCGC
RNAcentral lists this ribosomal RNA (354 nucleotides) under uncultured archaeon. Its description in RNAcentral is "bacterial SSU rRNA". It matches the Rfam family "Archaeal small subunit ribosomal RNA", at positions 471 to 824 of the family's 1478-position model. The record is from RNAcentral.